CACGUAGGGACCAAGCGUUGUCCGGAUUCAUUAGGCGUAAAGAGCUCGUAGGCGGUUCGAUAAGUCGGGUGUGAAACCUCCAGGCUCAACCUGGAGACGCCACCCGAUACUGUCGUGACUAGAGUCCAGUAGGGGAGCGUGGAAUUCCUGGUGUAGCGGUGAAAUGCGCAGAUAUCAGGAGGAACACCAGCGGCGAAGGCGGCGCUCUGGGCUGGAACUGACGCUGAGGAGCGAAAGCGUGGGGAGCGAACAGG
This 254-nucleotide ribosomal RNA is filed under the name uncultured bacterium. RNAcentral describes it as "partial 16S ribosomal RNA". It matches the Rfam family "Bacterial small subunit ribosomal RNA", at positions 524 to 776 of the family's 1533-position model. The record is from RNAcentral.